RNAcentral lists this ribosomal RNA (803 nucleotides) under uncultured Hafnia sp. RNAcentral describes it as "bacterial SSU rRNA". It matches the Rfam family "Bacterial small subunit ribosomal RNA", at positions 64 to 854 of the family's 1533-position model. Lineage: Bacteria; Pseudomonadati; Pseudomonadota; Gammaproteobacteria; Enterobacterales; Hafniaceae. The record is from RNAcentral.
GAGCGGUAGCACAGGAGAGCUUGCUCUCUGGGUGACGAGCGGCGGACGGGUGAGUAAUGUCUGGGAAACUGCCUGAUGGAGGGGGAUAACUACUGGAAACGGUAGCUAAUACCGCAUGACGUCUUCGGACCAAAGUGGGGGACCUUCGGGCCUCACGCCAUCAGAUGUGCCCAGAUGGGAUUAGCUAGUAGGUGGGGUAAUGGCUCACCUAGGCGACGAUCUCUAGCUGGUCUGAGAGGAUGACCAGCCACACUGGAACUGAGACACGGUCCAGACUCCUACGGGAGGCAGCAGUGGGGAAUAUUGCACAAUGGGCGCAAGCCUGAUGCAGCCAUGCCGCGUGUAUGAAGAAGGCCUUCGGGUUGUAAAGUACUUUCAGCGAGGAGGAAGGCAUUGUGGUUAAUAACCACAGUGAUUGACGUUACUCGCAGAAGAAGCACCGGCUAACUCCGUGCCAGCAGCCGCGGUAAUACGGAGGGUGCAAGCGUUAAUCGGAAUUACUGGGCGUAAAGCGCACGCAGGCGGUUGAUUAAGUCAGAUGUGAAAUCCCCGAGCUUAACUUGGGAACUGCAUUUGAAACUGGUCAGCUAGAGUCUUGUAGAGGGGGGUAGAAUUCCAGGUGUAGCGGUGAAAUGCGUAGAGAUCUGGAGGGAAUACCGGUGGCGAAGGCGGCCCCCUGGACAAAGACUGACGCUCAGGUGCGAAAGCGUGGGGAAGCAAACAGGAUUAAAUACCCUGGUAGCCCACGCUGUAAACGAUGUCCACUUGGAAGUUGCGCCCUUGAAGGGUGGCUUCCGGAGCUA